AUUGGGGAAAUGAGGGCUCAUGUCAGGUGAGGUGUCAGCCUGUCAGCCACAUAUAUCAGCUGAUAUUUGUUGUAAACAAUGAAUUUGAAUGCAUAUAAAAAUAAUGUUGUUAAUUAGGCACUAACAAUUUAAGCUAUAAAAUUAGUCUGUAAUAAAAGAAGGCCUAAAAAUGUCGAAUGCCGCAUCAGAACAUUGCAAGUUUUUCGUGCAUCGUAAAAAGCGAUAUUGCAAAAUGCUGGUGAAAUUAGGUCAAGAAUUUUGUGGAGAGCAUCAGAAACCCUUAGAAAGCGGUGACAAUGAGACCGCUAUACGAAUAACUUGUCCCUUAGAUCGAAAACAUACUGUUUAUGCCCACAAAUUAAGUAAACACUUGAAAAUAUGCAACGCACGCCAAACUGAUCCCGAACCGUUUAUCCAAAAGGACAUUAAUGCUGGAAAAUCGGAAGUACCAGCUGCACUUGCUUCAAGUGAUUCUUUUCGAAUGCUUUGUACGUUUCCAAAAGACCAAAUAACUGCUGUCAUAGAAAAAGUUAAUAACAUCUAUGAAAAAUAUUUAAAAAUUUCCGACAAAAAGAUGUCAUUUCCUUUAGUGGAAGCUGAAAUGGCCAAACCAGAAUAUGGAGAUAAAGCAAAAAAGCAUUUCAAACAAGCGUCUUCAAUUCUAGGUUUAAUGAAAGAAAAUGGCUUGUUUAGGGACAAAACUUGCUACAUAGAGUUUGGAGCUGGGAGAGGCCAGUUAAGCUGCUGGAUUGCUGAGGCAACUGAGUCGCUAGAAAAAUGCCAAUUAUUGUUAGUAGAAAGAGCCUCUCCGAAGCAUAAAAGAGAUAAUAAACUUGCAAAAACUUCAGACCGAAUUCAGAGAAUUAGAGCGGAUAUAGCCGAUUUAGUUCUGGAUAAAUUAAAUUUUAUUGAGAAAAGCCAACAUGUCGUGGGAGUUACCAAACAUUUAUGUGGCGCUGCCACAGACUUAACUAUUAGGUGCUUGACUAACCCUGAAGUGAACAAAGAUAAAAUCGAUGCUGCAGUGCUAACUUUUUGUUGUCACCACCGUUGUCUUUGGACUUCUUACACUGGAAAGACGUUUCUUCAGGAAAACGAUUUAAGCAUAGACGACUUUAAUAUUAUAUGUGGACUAUCAAGCUGGGCUACAUGUGGAUCGGGUUACAGCAGGGAAUUUAGGGAAAAGCACAAACAUGAAAACUACCAGGACAAUAUAGAUAUGGAAACAAAUGGUCUGAGCAGGGAUGAAAGAGAAAUCAUAGGGCAAAGAUGCAAGAACGUUCUUAAUUGGGGACGGUUAAGGUAUUUGGAAGCCAACAAUUUCAAAUGUUCACUACAUUAUUAUGUCGACAAAGAUAUUACGUUAGAAAAUGUAUGCAUUGUUGCAUUGAAACAGCAUAAAAUAGUAGCGAGUUAAACUCGAAUCAUUUAUUCCGUCGUAUUCAAUUCAGAUACAUAUUCCCAGGUAGUAUUUUGGUCUAGAUGACGUCCAAAUGACGACUUUUUUGGUCUUAUAUUGGUUCAUGGACCAAUAAGUUAGACGUCCAACUGACGUAAAAUAUUUAAGAAACACCGUGUGCGUCGACAUAUCGAUUACUUUCUCAUCUCUAGUCACAUGGCAGUCCUGCAUUUGAAGUACGUCAAAAUUGAUUUUCAGUUGGCUGACUGUUAAUAAAUCUGUCGAACUGUUGUUACGAUUACGAAACAGUGCUUCAUUUGCAAAAGAAUAUUUACAUAA
This is an RNA transcript of Dendroctonus ponderosae (mountain pine beetle), 1738 nucleotides long. It is a transcript of the gene named tRNA:m(4)X modification enzyme TRM13 homolog, with no coding region annotated. The record is from RefSeq and is a predicted model, not a curated record. NCBI's taxonomy places the organism in Eukaryota, Metazoa, Arthropoda, Insecta, Coleoptera, Curculionidae. The transcript is spliced from 9 exons.